GAAAGCGACGUUCAACCGCAAAAGAAGCAGAGGGGGCUUAGUGGUGGGGUGACUGCGUACCUUUUGUAUAAUGGGUCAGCGACUUAUAUUCUGUAGCAAGGUUAACCGAAUAGGGGAGCCGGAGGGAAACCGAGUCUUAACCGGGCGUUAAGUUGCAGGGUAUAGACCCGAAACCCGGUGAUCUAGCCAUGGGCAGGUUGAAGGUUGGGUAACACUAACUGGAGGACCGAACCGACUAAUGUUGAAAAAUUAGCGGAUGACCUGUGGCUGGGGGUGAAAGGCCAAUCAAACCGGGAGAUAGCUGGUUCUCCCCGAAAGCUAUUUAGGUAGCGCCUCGUGAAUUCAUCUCCGGGGGUAGAGCACUGUUUCGGCUAGGGGGCCAUCCCGGCUUACCAACCCGAUGCAAACUGCGAAUACCGGAGAAUGUUAUCACGGGAGACACACGGCGGGUGCUAACGUCCGUCGUGAAGAGGGAAACAACCCAGACCGCCAGCUAAGGUCCCAAAGUCAUGGUUAAGUGGGAAACGAUGUGGGAAGGCCCAGACAGCCAGGAUGUUGGCUUAGAAGCAGCCAUCAUUUAAAGAAAGCGUAAUAGCUCACUGGUCGAGUCGGCCUGCGCGGAAGAUGUAACGGGGCUAAACCAUGCACCGAAGCUGCGGCAGCGAACGUAUCACUUAAAGCGAUUCAGCGGGUUACGAUUGACGGAGCGAAGCGACGUCAAAGCGUAUACAAAGUCGAGUCGGUUUAAGGAUACGUUCGUUGGGUAGGGGAGCGUUCUGUAAGCCUGUGAAGGUG
RNAcentral lists this ribosomal RNA (795 nucleotides) under Salmonella enterica subsp. enterica serovar Dublin. RNAcentral describes it as "partial 23S ribosomal RNA". It matches the Rfam family "Bacterial large subunit ribosomal RNA", at positions 568 to 1258 of the family's 2925-position model. Lineage: Bacteria; Pseudomonadati; Pseudomonadota; Gammaproteobacteria; Enterobacterales; Enterobacteriaceae. The record is from RNAcentral.